CAGUCGCCGCGGGAAUACGAAGGGUGCAAGCGUUAAUCGGAAUUACUGGGCGUAAAGCGUGCGUAGGCGGUUUGUUAAGUCUGUUGUGAAAUCCCCGGGCUCAACCUGGGAAUGGCAAUGGAUACUGGCAAGCUAGAGUGUGUCAGAGGAUGGCGGAAUUCCCGGUGUAGCGGUGAAAUGCGUAGAGAUCGGGAGGAACAUCAGUGGCGAAGGCGGCCAUCUGGGACAACACUGACGCUGAGGCACGAAAGCGUGGGGAGCAAACAGGAUUAGAUACCCCCGUAGUCCCUGUCUCUUAUAC
RNAcentral lists this ribosomal RNA (301 nucleotides) under uncultured bacterium. RNAcentral's name for it is "partial 16S ribosomal RNA". It matches the Rfam family "Bacterial small subunit ribosomal RNA", at positions 509 to 807 of the family's 1533-position model. The record is from RNAcentral.